UGAAUUUUCAAAUCUGGGAAU
This 21-nucleotide non-coding RNA is filed under the name Caenorhabditis elegans. Lineage: Eukaryota; Metazoa; Nematoda; Chromadorea; Rhabditida; Rhabditidae. The record is from RNAcentral.